CGGUGUGCUUCACGCAUGCAAGUCGAACGAGGUAGCAAUACCUAGUGGCGGACGGGUGAGUAACGCGUGGAAUCUGCCUUUAGAUGGGGGAUAACGGGUCGAAAGACUCGCUAAUACCGCAUAUGACGAAAGUUGAAAGGAGUAAUCCGUCUAAAGAUGAGCCCGCGUCCGAUUAGCUAGUUGGUAGAGUUAAAGCCUACCAAGGCGACGAUCGGUAGCUGGUCUGAGAGGAUGAUCAGCCACAAUGGGACUGAGACACGGCCCAUACUCCUACGGGAGGCAGCAGUGGGAAUUUACGCAAUGGGCGAAAGCCUGACGUAGCGACACCGCGUGAGCGAAGAAGCCCCUUGGGGUGUAAAGCUCUGUCAGCUGGAACGAAAAAAUGACGGUACCAGCAGAGGAAGCAUCGGCUAACUACGUG
This 421-nucleotide ribosomal RNA is filed under the name uncultured bacterium. RNAcentral's name for it is "bacterial SSU rRNA". It matches the Rfam family "Bacterial small subunit ribosomal RNA", at positions 40 to 507 of the family's 1533-position model. The record is from RNAcentral.